AUGAAAUCUGCACAAUAGCACGAUGUCAGAAAUUUGCAGUAUGAACGAUGUAAUUCUUUGCCGGGGCAAUGCCUUUCUCGUGGAGUCAGCAUAGCUUUGCCCAUUUGAAGUCGAAUUUCCAUCUCUUCAAGUUGUUGUUGGGUCUAUCUUGAUUAAAGAGGAAGAUCCAAAGUUUUCUGUCGUAGUUGCACCCCAAAAGGCUCAGAUCAAAAAAGGGAAGAAAAAGAAAAAUCAAAAUCAAAGUCAAAAUGAAAAUGAAAAAAAUCAAAAAUAAAAAUAAAAAAAACAAAAAGAAGAAAGAAGAAAAAAUCAAAAUCAAGAUCAAAAUGAAAAUGAGAAAAAGAAAGAAGAAUGAAAAAAGAGAAACCUAGAUGAAAAAAUCAGAAUGAAAAAGAAAAGAAAAAGAAAAAGAGAGGCC
RNAcentral lists this long non-coding RNA (418 nucleotides) under Gossypium raimondii (Peruvian cotton). RNAcentral describes it as "long non-coding RNA (GRAI_LNC000296)". The record is from RNAcentral. Lineage: Eukaryota; Viridiplantae; Streptophyta; Magnoliopsida; Malvales; Malvaceae.